GUUUCGUUUUUGACAGCUGCACGAGCUGCGCGCUGCAUGUGUAUGUGUGUGUGCGAAAAUAUUAAUUGAUACCUUGUCGAUGCGAUGCAGUGCCGUGUGAAAUACAUCGGAGCUGUUUGUUUUUAAAAUUCAAACUAUUUAACACUUGAGACAAAAUUUGUGUUUCGGCGUUACUUGAUUUGCUAGGCUACCCAAAAAAAAGCGACGUGCAACGCACACCACAAAACACACACACAGCCAUAGAAAAAACGCACACACACCUAUGCAAGUGUAUUUGUAAUUUCGUACACUUAAGAAACGGAAAGAAAGCAAGCGAACACACGCAUACGGCGAAAAAAAUACGAAAAGAACACAAUUUUUUCGCAAAAGAGUUUCGGUUUCGGUACGGUGUUCGAUUUUCGGUUUGUUACAUAUACUCCGUGUGAUCCAACCUUGCCGCCCAUCGCCCACAAUAUCCUCCACCCAGCACCACCCUCAUUUGUUUUUUGUAAAUCGGGAGUUUUCGGAGAGCGAGCGGUCCGAAAAAUACAUUUAUUUUUAUUUACUGAUGACAGCAAGCACACGGAUAAGUAAGAUUUGUUUUCUACACAGCUAUACGAAAUUGAUCGAAAGAAAGAGAGAGAGAGAGAGAUAGAGAGGAAACGCCGCAUAGCGGCUGGAAGGGUGACCGAGCAAUCCAGUGAUCCAGUUAACAAAAUCCAGUGAGUCCUCAUCCUCCAAACGAUACCCAAUAACCGACAUCACCACCAACCACCACCACCGAUCCGAUCCUAUACCGAUCCUCCACGGAGGAGCUGCCGAAUUCAGCACCAUUCAAGUGCCGACUAAAAUGGAAAUAGAAACAGACCAGUCUAUUGAAGCAAUGGACACCCAGGACACUCAAGAGGUCGAGAUCCUCACCAGCGACCUCCAGCAGCAGCAACAACAACAACAGACACAACAGAAUUCGCCACCUCAAUUGCCCAAAUUCAAGAAUCUUAUCCAGCCACAAUUGCACGCCGUGGGUGCAGUUACCCAAUUGCCCAGCGAGAAUGGCAAUGUGCCUCCACAACAGCUUUUGGCAGACAGUAGCUCCACAUCAUUUGCCCCCGACGCCGAGGCCAUGGGCAUAGACGAUGAUUCUAAGGAGGAUCAAUUCCGUUCGGAGACCACAUUUUCCUAUACCGUCGAGAAUGUGGGUCAACUUAAAUCGCAGAGACUAUCGCCUCCAGUUUAUGUACGCAUGUUACCAUGGAAGAUCAUGGUCAUACCCAAUGAUCGAGCGCUGGGCUUCUUCCUUCAGUGCAACGGUGAAAAUGAUUCACCCAAUUGGUCGUGCAACGCCAUUGCUGAACUGCGUUUAAAAUGCCACAAGCCGGAUGCACCGCCCUUCACCAGAGCCCGCAUUAAGCAUUUGUUCUACUCGAAAGAGAACGACUAUGGGUACUCGAACUUUAUCACCUGGCUAGAGCUGCAGGAUGCCGAGAAGAGCUAUGUCCACAACAAUAGCAUAACUCUGGAGGUUCACGUUAUAGCGGAUGCACCACAUGGUGUUUUGUGGGACUCCAAGAAGCACACCGGCUAUGUUGGUCUUAAGAAUCAGGGAGCAACCUGCUAUAUGAACUCUCUGCUGCAGACAUUGUAUUUUACCAACUCAUUGAGAUUGUCUGUUUACCGCAUACCCACAGAGGCUGAUGAUAGUACCAAAUCGGUGGGAUUAUCUCUGCAGCGGGUGUUCCACGAACUGCAAUUUGGUGACCGUCCCGUGGGUACCAAGAAGCUUACCAAAUCCUUUGGCUGGGAGACACUUGAUUCGUUCAUGCAACACGAUGUUCAGGAAUUCCUUCGCGUUCUGCUUGAUAAGCUGGAAUCAAAGAUGAAGGGCACCACCCUGGAGGGUACCAUACCGGGUCUUUUUGAGGGCAAAAUGUCAUCAUACAUCAAAUGCAAGAACGUCGACUACAACAGCACACGCUACGAAACAUUCUACGACAUUCAGCUGAAUAUCAAGGACAAGAAGAACAUCUACGAGUCCUUCCAAGAUUACGUUGCCUCCGAGACACUUGAGGGCGACAACAAAUACGAUGCUGGUGUACACGGUCUACAGGAGGCCAGUAAGGGUGUUAUUUUCACUUCAUUCCCGCCCGUUUUGCAUCUGCACUUGAUGCGCUUCCAGUAUGAUCCAAUCACAGAUAGCUCGAUUAAGUACAACGAUCGCUUCGAGUUCUAUGAGAAGAUUAACCUGGAUAACUAUCUGGCCGAAAGCGAGAAGACCCCAGCGGACUACGUCCUGCACGCAGUGCUGGUUCACUCUGGCGAUAAUCACGGUGGUCACUAUGUGGUCUUCAUCAAUCCAAAGGCUGAUGGACGCUGGUUUAAGUUCGAUGAUGAUGUGGUCUCCAGUUGCCGCAAGCAGGAGGCAAUCGAACAGAACUAUGGCGGCAUGGAUGACGAGAUCUCAUUCCAUGCCAAAUGCAGCAACGCCUAUAUGUUGGUGUACAUCCGCGAAUCGGAGCUGGAACGUGUCCUCAGCGAUAUACCAGAGAGCGAGAUCUCCAGUGAUCUGGUGGAACGACUCGAUUUAGAGAAACGUAUCGAGAUGGCGCGCCGUAAGGAGCGCAGCGAGGCCAAUCUCUAUGUGUCGGUGCACGUGAUCCUUGAGGAGUCUUUCGAGGAUCAGCAUAAGCGUCGUCUCUUUGAUCUGGAAAAGGCCCAUCCGCGGAUCUUUAGGAUCAAGCAGAAUCAGACAGUCGACGAGCUGGUUGAUAUGUUUGUCAAGGGUUUCGGCGUGUCGCGCGAACGCAUGCGGAUCUGGAACAUGUGCACCGCUCAGACGCAGAAGUUCUUACACUUUGACUUCGAAGCGGAGGCGUCACGCACUAUCGAACAGAUCCCGACGUCACAGAAACCUUGGGUUAUUUGGCUGGAACUGGCCUGUCCCCACAAUCUUGGUCCCCUGCCGUCCUUUAAUCCAAAAACGGAAGUCCUACUGUUCCUUAAGUACUAUGAUCCGCGAAACAAGCGGCUGAACUACAUUGGUUGCACUCAGCAGCCACAUAGCCGCCGGUUAAUUGAACUGGUACCGGAGGUCAAUCAGAAACUGGGCUUUGAACCGGACACUGAGCUGACUAUUUAUGACGAGUACGCUGAUAAAAAGCUGGCCAAUCUAAACGAGCCCAUUGAGAGCGUGCUAUUCAUACCACAGGACAAUCUGCAGGGACACAUACUUAUUUUCGAGCGCGAGUGCGUGGACGCCAAGCUGGACCUGGCUACGGUAGAGGAUUACUUCCUUGAUCUGGUCUACCGCAUCGAGAUCAUAUUCAGCGACAAAUGCAACCCUAAUGAGCCGGACUUUACGCUGGAGCUGUCCAAUCGCUACAACUACGAGCAGCUUACCAAUGCGGUGGCCGAACGCUUGAACACCGAUCCCCAGAAGCUGCAGUUCUUUAUGUGUAUUAACAACUACAAGGAGACGGCGGGCAAUGCUGUGCCCUACACAUUUAAGGGCACCAUCAAGGACCUGGUAUCCUACACCAAUAAAAGUACACCGAAGCGAAUUUUCUACCAGCGCCUAUCCCUUAGCAUCCAUGAGCUGGAUAACAAGAAGCAAUUCAAAUGCGUCUGGGUGAGCAGCGAUCUCAAGGAUGAAAAGGAGCUGGUCCUGUACCCGAACAAGAACGAUACUGUGAAAGGUCUGCUGGAGGAGGCCGCGAAGAAGAUCACGUUUGCGGAAAAUAGCCGCCGCAAGCUGCGUCUAAUGAAGGUGAGCAACCAUAAAAUCGUGGCAAUCUGCAAGGAUGAUAUACCGCUGGAUACGCUUAUGAAGAGCAACGAAUCGCUCACGACCACACAGAGCGCUCAAAAGACUUAUCGCAUCGAGGAGGUGCCGGCGGAGGAGAUGCAGCUGGCAGAGAACGAGUUCCUCAUCCCAGUGGCCCAUUAUAGCAAGGAGCUGUACAAUUCGUUUGGCGUACCCUUCCUAACCAAAGCGCGCCACGGCGAACCGUAUGGUGCCCUAAAGCAACGCAUCCAACGGCGUCUCAAUGUGACGGACAAGGAGUGGGAGAAUUACAAAUUCGCUGUAGUCACCAUGGGCCCCAAUACGGAUGUCAACGACAAUACGCCCGUUGACCUGGAGGUGUAUCGUUCGUGGACUUCCGGCCAGUUACCCUUCUUUGGUUUGGAUCACAUCAACAAAUCCCGCAAGCGCAGCUCUCUUAACUUUUCCGAGAAGGCCAUCAAGAUAUACAACUAAAGGGUUUUUGGAGCAGUCUAUAAACUGGAUAAAGGAGCUGGAGCUGGAGCAGCAGUAGGAGCAGAAGCCAGGGCAGAAAGAAGUGAAUUCGAAGCGAAGCGAAUCAGUUACUUUUUUGUCUUAAUGUAAAUAAGCGUUCGUUGCAAGUUGCCCAUUAAAAAAAAAAAAAAAAAAACAAACAAACAAAAAACAAAACAUAUAUGUAACAAAGAGGAAGCGAAACUAAAGGAAAGCAAAGGAAGAACCGAAACUAAAAUAUAAAACAAACAAACAAAAGAUACAUAAUAUAUAUAAAUAAAUAUACGAAAAGAGAGAGAGAGAGAGCGAGAGCUGUAAACAACAAAAGAAAAUGCAACUAUGUAACAAGUAUAACUUUAAACAAAACAAAAAACAAUUAACAAAAGAGUCAUGAAGUUGCGCUAAAUGAGACAAAGAAAGAGAUAUAGUUGAUAUAAUCGAGCAGCAGAUCGAAAGAGAACGAGACAGAGAGCUAAGAAGAUGGAAAAUAUAAGAUUUGUUUCAAACAAUUAUUUGUGAUUUUUAAGCAUGAAAUGAUAAAAAAUGUAUGCAAAUGACUAGACAACAUAAUAUUAAUUAAUAAAUUACUAUAAUACACAGUUUAGUGCUUUUUCUUUUGUUAAUUAAAGCGAAGGAUCCAAGUUUCGAUUGAAAAAAAAAAAACAAAAAACGAAAAACAAACCAAUCAAAUGAGAAGAGCCCACAACAAAAAAAUAUUUUAAUAAUAUAUUACUAUGCUAUUAUUAU
Molecule: RNA transcript, 4999 nt
Organism: Drosophila eugracilis
Lineage: Eukaryota; Metazoa; Arthropoda; Insecta; Diptera; Drosophilidae
Gene: Usp7
Gene name: ubiquitin carboxyl-terminal hydrolase 7
Exons: 5
Source: RefSeq, a predicted model, not a curated record